AGGACGAACGCUGGCGGCGUGCUUAACACAUGCAAGUCGAACAGGAGUAUUGAAGAAGCUUGCUUUAGAGAUACUUUAGUGGCGGACGGGUGAGUAACGCGUGAGGAGCUGUCCUAUGCAGGGGGACAACAGCUGGAAACGGCUGCUAAUACCCCAUAAGCCGAGAGGUAAAAGGAUCAAUCCGGCAGAGGAGGUACUCGCGUCCUAUCAGCUAGUAGGUGAGGUAACGGCUCACCUAGGCGAAGACGGGUAGCCGGCCUGAGAGGGCGAAACGGCCACACUGGAACUGAGAUACGGUCCAGACUCCUACGGGAGGCAGCAGUGGGGAAUAUUGGGCAAUGGGGGAAACCCUGACCCAGCGACGCCGCGUGGGUGAAGAAAUCCUUCGGGAUGUAAAGCCCUGUUGUAUGGGAAGAGCGGAAGACGGUACCAUACGAGGAAGCCCCGGCAAACUACGUG
This 459-nucleotide ribosomal RNA is filed under the name uncultured bacterium. RNAcentral's name for it is "bacterial SSU rRNA". It matches the Rfam family "Bacterial small subunit ribosomal RNA", at positions 26 to 507 of the family's 1533-position model. The record is from RNAcentral.